Molecule: ribosomal RNA, 253 nt
Filed under: uncultured bacterium
Lineage: Bacteria
Description: partial 16S ribosomal RNA
Rfam family: Bacterial small subunit ribosomal RNA
Source: RNAcentral
UACGAAGGGGGCUAGCGUUGUUCGGAAUCACUGGGCGUAAAGCGCACGCAGGCGGAUCGAUAAGUCGGGGGUGAAAGCCCGGGGCUCAACCUCGGAAUUGCCUUCGAUACUGUCGGUCUCGAGUCCGGGAGAGGUGAGUGGAAGUCCUAGUGUAGAGGUGAAAUUCGUAGAUAUUAGGAAGAACACCAGUGGCGAAGGCGGCUCACUGGCCUAGUACUGACGCUCAGGUGCGAAAGCGUGGGGAGCAAACAGG